This 628-nucleotide long non-coding RNA is filed under the name Equus asinus (donkey). RNAcentral describes it as "lncRNA (ENSEASG00005025693.1)". Lineage: Eukaryota; Metazoa; Chordata; Mammalia; Perissodactyla; Equidae. The record is from RNAcentral.
CCAGCGAGCGUUUCAAGAAGGCGAGAGCGAUCAACAAUAUCAAACCCAGCAGAGAAUUCCAAUAAGACAGGGAUGGAAAAACACCCGCUGAAGUUGGUAAUUAGGAGGUUAUCGGAGCCCUCAGCAAGAGAGUUUCAGGGGUGAGAUGGAGCAGAACCCCGACUGCAGCGCCUGAGUGUGAUAGAUAGUCAGCAAACACGCUCCUGGUACAGAAGUUUAGAUAAUUAAGUUUAGAUAAUUAGAAAAGUUUCAGGAAGGAUCGUCUGGAAGCUAGAGAGUGAAGUGUGGAGUCAAGAGAAAGUUCUCCACUCAGUCCAGCAGAUAGUUUUCGAGCACUUCCUAUGCGCUGGCCUACUGUUCAAGCAACCACGUGAACAAGACAGACACAUCCCUGCCCACACGCAGCCAACAGUCUAAAUGGGGAAACAGACAGGAAUCAAGCAAUCACCUGAAUCAAUGGAUAAUUACGAAUAACGAUAGUCACGAAGGAGAGAGAAUUUGAACGUGACCUUUGUGACUUAGCCACAUCUCACUUUAGCCGGAUGUCACCGUGCCCGUGGCCAGGUCUCUGUCUCGUUCAUUUUGGAAUCAUCCCCAGCCUGGAGCAGCUGACCAGGGACGGCUGAAU